CCUGCUUCUAUUUACGGUGAUCAGUUUAUAUCAUCUAGCAAGGUCAGAUCUUAUAUUGCAAAAAAUCACUGACAGAAAUAUAGGAGGUGGAAAAUUAUGAUCAGGAUUUAUAUUUCGUUUAAACUAAUCGGGUUUUUACAGCUUUAGAUAGGACCGCAUGGGCGAAGCUUUUGUCUCGUGUUACAAUCUCUGCCAGUAUAUCAAGAAUUUGUCGUUUUAUAUACAUAAUUAUACAAAUAAAAAAAAAAUUCUAGCAUAUUUGGAACCAAAACAUGUAUUAUUCGAAGCAGAGUGAGCAAAUUAUCGUUUCAACUGGCCGAAAUUUUUCAAUUCGGAGUAUUUGAUUAUUGUUACGAUUUAUAUUACGUGUAUUAUUAGUUACGUAGUGUCGGGGAAAAAAAAUUCUCAGGAAUCUGAAACUACAUUCUUCAGGAUGAAAGGGAAACUAUACUCAUUCGCAGAUACUUAAGGAGAAAACUGUUUCACCUAAAGCUCACCUUCUUGGGUGAUGGAGAAGAGGUUGUCUGAGUUGCCUUCUCUUUCAUUUCUUCCUGAAAAUAAGUAGCAAUGACAUGAAAGAGAGAUGAGAGUGGGAGCAAACCAAUACCUCAGCCAUGGAUCGAACUCUAAGGCUAACAUUCCUGCGCAAGGUUGGUAUGUAUGUUGCGGGAAGGCCGAGCUGGUUCACCCUGGACCUGUUAGAAAGGCGAGAAACAGGGCUCGCCAAGAGAGAUUGAAUGGCAUACGAGGCAGACAUAUCUAAUUGGAAAGAGAGAUUUUCCGGGUUGGAACGAU
Long non-coding RNA from Prosopis cineraria, 795 nucleotides. RefSeq lists it as uncharacterized. NCBI's taxonomy places the organism in Eukaryota, Viridiplantae, Streptophyta, Magnoliopsida, Fabales, Fabaceae. The transcript is spliced from 2 exons. The record is from RefSeq and is a predicted model, not a curated record.